Long non-coding RNA from Nematolebias whitei (Rio pearlfish), 515 nucleotides. RefSeq lists it as uncharacterized. Lineage: Eukaryota; Metazoa; Chordata; Actinopteri; Cyprinodontiformes; Rivulidae. The record is from RefSeq and is a predicted model, not a curated record. The transcript is spliced from 4 exons.
UAGCGUGUGGAUGCUUAUUGGAGCCAUGUUGUUGUUAAUGUCGAAACACGAUGUGAGGAUUAGCUGAACUUUUUAGCCGUAAUGUAAGUUAUUUAUUGAGUUUUUCCUCAUCGUUCAGAUGUGAACGAAGGUAGCAGCGCGCGCAGCGGCUCUGCUAGCACGUGGCGGGCUCGCGCCGUGCUAAUACAAGAUGGCGAAGCAGGAGCCGAUUCACUCCUGCUACCAAUGAAAUCAUAAAAUAGUCGGCGGCUCUGAAGACUGUUUUCAUCCUGCAGUAGUUGAACAAAUGUGGUUUGUGUCGACGCCCGGCUGUUCAGCAGAGGGGGCCCCCUCCUGCAGGUGAUCCACACUGAUGAACGGUUUUGGUUUCCAUCUGUGUCCUGAAAAUAAACCGGGACUGAAGAUCCAGAGGUCAAAUCAUCCGACUGAACUGACUCGCUGUUGAUGAUGAUAUAUAUUUUUCUUCUGUGGAAAAAAACAAACAUAUUUACAAAAAUCUUAAAUAAAGGCUUUAC